RNAcentral lists this long non-coding RNA (384 nucleotides) under Homo sapiens (human). Its description in RNAcentral is "HSALNT0092823". Lineage: Eukaryota; Metazoa; Chordata; Mammalia; Primates; Hominidae. The record is from RNAcentral.
GGCAUCUCCAGCUGAGGCAAUGCUCUAGAGAUGGUCACAGGUAUAAGCUGUUAGCUAGAGCAAUUUCAGCAGCUGGGAGGUGAGCUUAUCUAUCCACAAAGGUUAUCUGAGAGGGGCAACAACUUCUACUGCUGUUAGUUUACCUUUGGGUAUAAACCUCAACUUUGAGGAAAGAGUUAAAUUCAAUGGAAAACAAAUUUGUUGAGUGCCUACUAUGUGCAAAACAGUAUGUUGGGGCAAAAGGGGAACACAAUGUGGAAGAUCUGUUGCCCUCAAGAAGAAAAAACUGUGCAUAUCAGCAAGGUAUCUCUUCCUGAGGCCGGUCUUCGUUAGCGAGCUUGGUUGCAUGACCUUGGGGAUGUCACUUAAACAUUCAGUCUCAGA